CAAUGCUGCACUUGCUGCUC
RNAcentral lists this microRNA (20 nucleotides) under Ciona intestinalis (vase tunicate). RNAcentral's name for it is "cin-miR-4059-3p". Lineage: Eukaryota; Metazoa; Chordata; Ascidiacea; Phlebobranchia; Cionidae. The record is from miRBase by way of RNAcentral.